UCUAGAGGAAGCACUUUCUGUUUGUUGUCUGAGAAAAAACAAAGUGCUUCCCUUUAGAGU
RNAcentral lists this microRNA precursor (60 nucleotides) under Homo sapiens (human). Its description in RNAcentral is "Hsa-Mir-430-P33b_pre stem-loop". Lineage: Eukaryota; Metazoa; Chordata; Mammalia; Primates; Hominidae. The record is from RNAcentral.